UUUUCUUGAAUUGAUUGGAAAUCGGGCCUGUCCACUGAUAUUAAAUUGAAGGGCCGCGGUAUUUUGACCGUGCAAAGGUAGCAUAAUCAUUAGUCUUUUAAUUGAGGGCUGGAAUGAAUGGUUUGACGAAAUAAUAACUGUCUCUAAUAUAAUUAAAUUGAAUUUUACUUUUAAGUUAAAAGGCUUAAAUAGUAAUAAGGGACGAGAAGACCCUAUAGAUCUUUAUAAUAUAUUUUAUAAUGUAAAUUUUGGAUGUUUAAUUUAUUUAUUAAUUUAUAUUAUUUUAUUGGGGUGAUAUGAGAAUAUUAUAACUUCUUAAUUUUGAACUUUGAUGGGAGAAAAUAAAAAAUCCUUUAUUAUUGAAUAAAGAUUAAGAUACCUUAGGGAUAACAGCGUAAUCUUGUUGGAGAGUUCUUAUUGAUAAUAAGGAUUGCGACCUCGAUGUUGGAUUAAGAAUAUAUGUUGGUGUAGAUGUUAAUAUUAUUAGUCUGUUC
This 494-nucleotide ribosomal RNA is filed under the name Lebinthus nattawa. RNAcentral's name for it is "partial 16S ribosomal RNA". It matches the Rfam family "Bacterial large subunit ribosomal RNA", at positions 1832 to 2582 of the family's 2925-position model. The record is from RNAcentral. Lineage: Eukaryota; Metazoa; Arthropoda; Insecta; Orthoptera; Gryllidae.